GGCGAGGUGGCCGAGUGGUUAAGGCGACAGACUAGAACUUGGCAUCCGCCGCUUUCCAGAUUAUCUGUUGGGUUCGCCCGCGUAGGUUCAAAUCCUGCCCUCGUCG
This is a non-coding RNA of Plectosphaerella cucumerina, 106 nucleotides long. The record is from the annotation of a GenBank genome assembly. NCBI's taxonomy places the organism in Eukaryota, Fungi, Ascomycota, Sordariomycetes, Glomerellales, Plectosphaerellaceae.